RNAcentral lists this long non-coding RNA (401 nucleotides) under Felis catus (domestic cat). RNAcentral's name for it is "lncRNA (ENSFCAG00000048617.1)". The record is from RNAcentral. Lineage: Eukaryota; Metazoa; Chordata; Mammalia; Carnivora; Felidae.
UGAAUUUUCCUUCCAGAUAUCUUUGCAACAAGUGCCUGCUACAAAUCAAGGCGAGUUGGAGGAGUGGGCUUAUGUUCUCCAAAUAAGUGUGGGAGACCUACAGGGUCAGACAACGUAGCAGCAGCAGAUGAACUUGGAGUUUCUUUUAAUUUCCUCUCAAUCACAGGCAAAUGAAGUCUCCAUCCUACACUUGGGGUCCUGCAUGCAUGGGUGAAGACACCAGCACACGGUGAGAGCACAGUCAACACUCAAAAAGAGAGAGCCACAGAAGACUCCCCUGCGGGCUUGGGUCAGAGGCUCAAGGCCCCUAAGGACCUAGGGAAUUCUGAGAUUCUGGGGACUCAGAUGGGCUCUAGGUGAGCAUCUCUCUUUAAUUCUUCAGGCUCUUCCCCCCAUGGGAG